GAUGAACGCUAGCUACAGGCUUAACACAUGCAAGUCGAGGGGCAGCGCAGUGUAGCAAUACAUGGGCGGCGACCGGCGCACGGGUGCGUAACGCGUAUCCAACCUUCCCGUUACUCAGGGAUAGCCUUCCGGAAGGGAGAUUAAUACCUGAUGGUGUUGAAAUUCCGCAUGUUAUUUCAACUAAAGAUUUAUCGGUAACGGAUGGGGAUGCGUGACAUUAGAUAGUAGGCGGGGUAACGGCCCACCUAGUCUACGAUGUCUAGGGGUUCUGAGAGGAAGGUCCCCCACACUGGAACUGAGACACGGUCCAG
RNAcentral lists this ribosomal RNA (311 nucleotides) under uncultured bacterium. RNAcentral describes it as "bacterial SSU rRNA". It matches the Rfam family "Bacterial small subunit ribosomal RNA", at positions 28 to 334 of the family's 1533-position model. The record is from RNAcentral.